Molecule: small nucleolar RNA, 127 nt
Organism: Ictidomys tridecemlineatus (thirteen-lined ground squirrel)
Lineage: Eukaryota; Metazoa; Chordata; Mammalia; Rodentia; Sciuridae
Source: Ensembl
AAACAAACAACUCAUUGUAAAAAUGGGCAAAGAUGCAUUCCUACAGUGCUUGCCAGAACCAUUUUAAAAUGGUUUGAGGCCUUGCCCUGUCCUAUCCAGAGCAAGGUAAUAGAAAUUUCAGAGAAUU